Molecule: ribosomal RNA, 253 nt
Filed under: uncultured bacterium
Lineage: Bacteria
Description: partial 16S ribosomal RNA
Rfam family: Bacterial small subunit ribosomal RNA
Source: RNAcentral
UACAGAGGUCUCAAGCGUUGUUCGGAUUCAUUGGGCGUAAAGGGUGCGUAGGCGGCGCGGUAAGUCGGGUGUGAAAUCUUGGAGCUUAACUCCGAAACUGCAUUCGAUACUGCUGUGCUUGAGGACUGGAGAGGAGACUGGAAUUUACGGUGUAGCGGUGAAAUGCGUAGAUAUCGUAAGGAAGACCAGUGGCGAAGGCGGGUCUCUGGACAGUUCCUGACGCUGAGGCACGAAGGCCAGGGGAGCAAACGGG